This 1763-nucleotide ribosomal RNA is filed under the name Tomato big bud phytoplasma. RNAcentral's name for it is "bacterial SSU rRNA". The stretch from base 1 to 1487 matches the Rfam family "Bacterial small subunit ribosomal RNA". The record is from RNAcentral. Lineage: Bacteria; Bacillati; Mycoplasmatota; Mollicutes; Acholeplasmatales; Acholeplasmataceae.
GGGCGCUAUACAUGCAAGUCGAACGGAACCUUCGGGUUUUAGUGGCGAACGGGUGAGUAACACGUAAGCAACCUGCCUUUAAGACGUGGAUAACAAUUGGAAACAGUUGCUAAGACAGGAUAGGAAAUUAAGAGGCAUCUUUUAAUUUUUAAAAGACCUUUUUCGAAAGGUAUACUUAAAGAGGGGCUUGCGCCACAUUAGUUAGUUGGUAAGGUAAAGGCUUACCAAGACGAUGAUGUGUAGCUGGACUGAGAGGUCGAACAGCCACAUUGGGACUGAGACACGGCCCAAACUCCUACGGGAGGCAGCAGUAAGGAAUUUUUGGCAAUGGAGGAAACUCUGACCGAGCGACGUCGCGUGAACAAUGAAGUACUUCGGUAUGUAAAGUUCUUUUAUUGAAAAAGAAAAAAUAGUGGAAAAACUAUCUUGACAUUAUUCAAUGAAUAAGCCCCGGCUAAUUAUGUGCCAGCAGCCGCGGUAAUACAUAAGGGGCGAGCGUUAUCCGGAAUUAUUGGGCGUAAAGGGUGCGUAGGCGGUUUGAUAAGUCUAUAGUUUAAAUGCAGUGCUUAACGCUGUAGCGCUAUAGAAACUGUCUGACUAGAGUUAGAUAGAGGCAAGCGGAAUUCCAUGUGUAGCGGUAAAAUGCGUAAAUAUAUGGAGGAACACCAGAGGCGUAGGCGGCUUGCUGGGUCUUAACUGACGCUGAGGCACGAAAGCGUGGGGAGCAAACAGGAUUAGAUACCCUGGUAGUCCACGCCGUAAACGAUGAGUACUAAGUGUCGGGUUUCGGCUCGGUACUGAAGUUAACACAUUAAGUACUCCGCCUGAGUAGUACGUACGCAAGUAUGAAACUUAAAGGAAUUGACGGGACCCCGCACAAGCGGUGGAUCAUGUUGUUUAAUUCGAAGAUACACGAAAAACCUUACCAGGUCUUGACAUAAUUUUGCGACAUUAUAGAAAUAUAAUGAAGGUUAUCAGAAUUACAGGUGGUGCAUGGUUGUCGUCAGCUCGUGUCGUGAGAUGUUAGGUUAAGUCCUAAAACGAGCGCAACCCUUGUCGUUAGUUGCGACCACGUAAUGGUGAGCACUUUAGCGAGACUGCCAAUGAAAAAUUGGAGGAAGGUGAGGAUUACGUCAAAUCAUCAUGCCCCUUAUGAUCUGGGCUACAAACGUGAUACAAUGGCUGUUACAAAGAGUAGCUACAACGUGAGUUUUUAGCCAAUCUCAAAAAAACAGUCUCAGUUCGGAUUGAAGUCUGCAACUCGACUUCAUGAAGUUGGAAUCGCUAGUAAUCGCGAAUCAGCAUGUCGCGGUGAAUACGUUCUCGGGGUUUGUACACACCGCCCGUCAAACCACGAAAGUUGAUAAUACCCGAAAGCGGUCGCCUAACUUCGUCAGAAGAGGGAGCCGUCUAAGGUAGGAUCGAUGAUUGGGGUUAAGUCGUAACAAGGUAUCCCUACCGGAAGGUGGGGAUGGAUCACCUCCUUUCUAAGGAAACAUAGAAUCAUCAUCUUCAGUUUUGAAAGACUUAGUUAGGUUUUUCUAAUUUGAAAAACUUAGUUAAGUUUUUCUCAUUUCUUUUAUUUUUUGGUAUCCUGGGCCUAUAGCUCAGUUGGUUAGAGCACACGCCUGAUAAGCGUGAGGUCGGUGGUUCAAGUCCAUUUAGGCCCACCAAACGUUUUGCUAAAAAAAACGUGUUAUCAAAAAAAAGUUCUUUGAAAAGUAGAUAAACAAGAAAACAAUAGCCAUUUUAAAGGAAGUAAG